RNAcentral lists this ribosomal RNA (443 nucleotides) under uncultured bacterium. RNAcentral's name for it is "bacterial SSU rRNA". It matches the Rfam family "Bacterial small subunit ribosomal RNA", at positions 958 to 1399 of the family's 1533-position model. The record is from RNAcentral.
AACGCGAAGAACCUUACCUACCCUUGACAUCCUUGGAAGUCUGCAGAGAUGUGGACGUGCCUGAAAGGGAGCCGAGAGACAGGUGCUGCAUGGCUGUCGUCAGCUCGUGUCGUGAGAUGUUGGGUUAAGUCCCGUAACGAGCGCAACCCUUAUUCCUAGUUACCAUCGAGAAAGUUGGGGACUCUAGGAAGACUGCCGGUGCUAAACCGGAGGAAGGUGGGGAUGACGUCAAGUCCUCAUGGCCCAUAUGGGUAGGGCUACACACGUGCUACAAUGGACGGUACAGAGGGAAGCGAAGUCGCGAGGCGGAGCGGAUCUUGAAAAGCCGUUCGUAGUUCGGAUUGGAGUCUGCAACUCGACUCCAUGAAGUUGGAAUCGCUAGUAAUCGCCGAUCAGCAUGCGGCGGUGAAUACGUUCUCGGGCCUUGUACACACCGACGCGUA